AGGGAGAGAUCGAGAUCCAGAAAGAGGCACACGGAAAGUACGAGGUCCAGGGGAGCAUAGCUGGAGAGUCGCAGCCCCCACCCCUGCCCGCGGCCGAGGCCAAGGCCGAUUCCAGUUUCAGUGAACGAGUGGGGUAUUCUGCUAACUGAACGAGUGGGGCUCAGCCGAGAGCAGACAGGGACCUCUCCUCCGGGUGGGAGAGCACCUGGUGGACGGUGUUUCCGAGCACCUUCUGAAAUUACUACUCGCACCUUUCCUGGGACACUUUUUAAAAGGACCAGCAAGCCUCCAGUUGACGUGGCUAGAAUCCCAGAUUCAUGGAGCUGUUGCAGAGCACAUCUCAGUGGUCUCCCUAAGUCUGGAACAGCUGAGCAUCACACACCAGAGGGACAUCGGACUUAAAAAAAACAAAAACAAAAACUGCAGCGUUUGGAUCUUUUCCUGCCUUAAAAGCAAGAAAAAUGGAAAAUUGAUAAUCAAAGG
Molecule: long non-coding RNA, 483 nt
Filed under: Sus scrofa (pig)
Lineage: Eukaryota; Metazoa; Chordata; Mammalia; Artiodactyla; Suidae
Description: lncRNA (ENSSSCG00045029875.1)
Source: RNAcentral